AAGUGGACAUUUUAUGGACACAACUGCAGGGAGAGGGCCUGACAUUUAAUUUCAAAUUCAAAUUUUAAAGGAAGAGUCUAUAAAUGAGCUUUGGGCAAGGGUUCAUCCAGGUCCACAUAAUCAUGACUGCAAGCAGGGAAAAAGACAUGAAGGGGAAUAAUGUGGACUGCGACUAGAAUCCCUGAAUACUUACUAGCCAGAAAAGGACUGCUUUCAUCCCCAAUGAAGACGAAGAGUCCUGAAUGCUGAAAGAUGCAAAUUCUGAACAGAAGCAUCAUCUGUUUCUGUUUCCUCUUUUGUCCUCCUCUGCUCGGCCAGGACCACAAACUCUGGCUAAUGACUGCUCAAUUUGCUUGCUCCAUGUGGACCCAAAUCCUUGUACCCAAGUCUAGACAAGCCCAACCAAGUCCAACCAAGCCAAGCAGAGCCACAAAUCACCUAACAGACAGAUGAAGAAAUGAAAGUUUAUUGUUGCAACUGUUGAGUUUGGGGUUGUUUAUCACACAGCAUAAUCACAAUAAAAAGUGAUAAGUAA
Long non-coding RNA from Bubalus bubalis (water buffalo), 535 nucleotides. RefSeq lists it as uncharacterized. NCBI's taxonomy places the organism in Eukaryota, Metazoa, Chordata, Mammalia, Artiodactyla, Bovidae. The transcript is spliced from 4 exons. The record is from RefSeq and is a predicted model, not a curated record.